UAUUUGUUUAUUCUUUCUGUAACGUUUUGUAAUCGAGUCAAUUUCACUGGAGUACCAAAUAUACAUGGUAUGUGUGUAUGUUUUUUUAAUAAUUAGUUAUAAAUUAAUUAAAUAAUCAUAAACUUCCAAACAAAAUCAAAAUUACACAAAACAUUUAACUGAUUUAAUUAUUUAAUCUGUCACACAUCGAUCAAUAUAACUGUAUAUAAUAUACUGUCCCUCUGAAGUGAGGUAUUGGAAAACAUGAACUGGAAAUAAAAAUUGGAGCAUCAACCUCAAUUUAGUCAGAACUACUACGAUUCAUGAGCAUUAAGCAAAUAUAAAAUUAAUAUAAGACUUAUCGUGACCCAUCGGUUGAAGACCACUGCUAUAUCACCUUCAACCCAACGAAACAGGGAAGCACUUCACCAAUUAUCUGUGAAACUUUUCACGUGGCUCAUAAGAUACC
Long non-coding RNA from Aphis gossypii (cotton aphid), 448 nucleotides. RefSeq lists it as uncharacterized. The record is from RefSeq and is a predicted model, not a curated record. The transcript has 3 exons. Lineage: Eukaryota; Metazoa; Arthropoda; Insecta; Hemiptera; Aphididae.